GACGAACGCUGGCGGCGUGCCUAAUACAUGCAAGUAGAACGCUGAAGAGAGGAGCUUGCUCUUCUUGGAUGAGUUGCGAACGGGUGAGUAACGCGUAGGUAACCUGCCUUGUAGCGGGGGAUAACUAUUGGAAACGAUAGCUAAUACCGCAUAACAAUGGAUGACACAUGUCAUUUAUUUGAAAGGGGCAAUUGCUCCACUACAAGAUGGACCUGCGUUGUAUUAGCUAGUAGGUGAGGUAACGGCUCACCUAGGCGACGAUACAUAGCCGACCUGAGAGGGUGAUCGGCCACACUGGGACUGAGACACGGCCCAGACUCCUACGGGAGGCAGCAGUAGGGAAUCUUCGGCAAUGGGGGCAACCCUGACCGAGCAACGCCGCGUGAGUGAAGAAGGUUUUCGGAUCGUNAAGCUCUGUUGUAAGUCAAGAACGAGUGUGAGAGUGGAAAGUUCACACUGUGACGGUAGCUUACCAGAAAGGGACGGCUAACUACGUGCCAGCAGCCGCGGUAAUACGUAGGUCCCGAGCGUUGUCCGGAAUUUAUGGGCGUAAAGCGAGCGCAGCGGUUUGAUAGUCUGAAGUUAAGGCUGUGGCUCAACCAUAGUUCGCUUUGGAAACUGUCAAACUUGAGUGCAGAAGGGGAGAGUGGAAUUCCAUGUGUAGCGGUGAAAUGCGUAGAUAUAUGGAGGAACACCGGUGGCGAAAGCGGCUCUCUGGUCUGUAACUGACGCUGAGGCUCGAAAGCGUGGGGAGCGAACAGGAUUAGAUACCCUGGUAGUCCACGCCGUAAACGAUGAGUGCUAGGUGUUGGAUCCUUUCCGGGAUUCAGUGCCGCAGCUAACGCAUUAAGCACUCCGCCUGGGGAGUACGACCGCAAGGUUGAAACUCAAAGGAAUUGACGGGGGCCCGCACAAGCGGUGGAGCAUGUGGUUUAAUUCGAAGCACGCGAAAGACCCUUACCAGGUCUUGACAUCCCGAUGCUAUUUCUAGAGAUAGAAAGUUACUUCGGUACAUCGGUGACAGGUGGUGCAUGGUUGUCGUCAGCUCGUGUCGUGAGAUGUUGGGUUAAGUCCCGCAACGAGCGCAACCCCUAUUGUUAGUUGCCAUCAUUCAGUUGGGCACUCUAGCGAGACUGCCGGUAAUAAACCGGAGGAAGGUGGGGAUGACGUCAAAUCAUCAUGCCCCUUAUGACCUGGGCUACACACGAGCUACAAUGGUUGGUACAACGAGUUGCGAGUCGGUGACGGCAAGCUAAUCUCUUAAAGCCAAUCUCAGUUCGGAUUGUAGGCUGCAACUCGCCUACAUGAAGUCGGAAUCGCUAGUAAUCGCGGAUCAGCACGCCGCGGUGAAUACGUUCCCGGGCCU
RNAcentral lists this ribosomal RNA (1366 nucleotides) under uncultured bacterium. RNAcentral's name for it is "bacterial SSU rRNA". It matches the Rfam family "Bacterial small subunit ribosomal RNA", at positions 28 to 1381 of the family's 1533-position model. The record is from RNAcentral.